Molecule: ribosomal RNA, 691 nt
Filed under: Vibrio sp. KR08-37
Lineage: Bacteria; Pseudomonadati; Pseudomonadota; Gammaproteobacteria; Vibrionales; Vibrionaceae
Description: bacterial SSU rRNA
Rfam family: Bacterial small subunit ribosomal RNA
Source: RNAcentral
GGACGGGUGAGUAAUGCCUGGGAAAUUGCCCUGAUGUGGGGGAUAACCAUUGGAAACGAUGGCUAAUACCGCAUAAUAGCUUCGGCUCAAAGAGGGGGACCUUCGGGCCUCUCGCGUCAGGAUAUGCCCAGGUGGGAUUAGCUAGUUGGUGAGGUAAGGGCUCACCAAGGCGACGAUCCCUAGCUGGUCUGAGAGGAUGAUCAGCCACACUGGAACUGAGACACGGUCCAGACUCCUACGGGAGGCAGCAGUGGGGAAUAUUGCACAAUGGGCGCAAGCCUGAUGCAGCCAUGCCGCGUGUAUGAAGAAGGCCUUCGGGUUGUAAAGUACUUUCAGCAGUGAGGAAGGGGUGUACGUUAAUAGCGUGCAUCUUUGACGUUAGCUGCAGAAGAAGCACCGGCUAACUCCGUGCCAGCAGCCGCGGUAAUACGGAGGGUGCGAGCGUUAAUCGGAAUUACUGGGCGUAAAGCGCAUGCAGGUGGUUUGUUAAGUCAGAUGUGAAAGCCCGGGGCUCAACCUCGGAAUUGCAUUUGAAACUGGCAGACUAGAGUACUGUAGAGGGGGGUAGAAUUUCAGGUGUAGCGGUGAAAUGCGUAGAGAUCUGAAGGAAUACCGGUGGCGAAGGCGGCCCCCUGGACAGAUACUGACACUCNGAUGCGAAAGCGUGGGGAGCAAACAGGAUUAGAUACCC